Prosopis cineraria is the source of this 1694-nucleotide RNA transcript. RefSeq lists it as uncharacterized. The transcript is spliced from 7 exons. The record is from RefSeq and is a predicted model, not a curated record. NCBI's taxonomy places the organism in Eukaryota, Viridiplantae, Streptophyta, Magnoliopsida, Fabales, Fabaceae.
CAUCGUAGCUGGCUCAGAAGCAGGAGGGAGCGGGGGAAUAUCUGAGACGCGGCUUGUGGUCGUGGACUGGGAGCCCAACUAUCCAUCUGCAUCGGCAUCGCUGUUUGAUUUCUGAGGGCAUUCACAGGCCAUGUCUGCUGCAACUUUGAUCUCAAGUCCAGGGUUUCCAUAUCCGAGCCACUUGUCCUUCUCAACUCGAAGCACUUGUUCCGUUCUGUUUCGCUCUAAUCCUUCUAGCGGAACCUUUUCUUCAAUUCCACACUCUCUCAAUCACCGAUUCUUCAGACUAACAUCCAGGUCAUUUGCCCGGACCUCAUCCUUCCAUGGCUUCAAGCGCCUUUCCCCUGUCAUGGAGUGGCAGGAUUGCACGGUUAAGCUGGAGGUUGACGUGCCUGCCUCGGUUGCCUAUGCCUGUUAUUCUGAUCGUGAAGCCAUCCCUCGUUGGAUGCCCUUUAUUUCCUCUGUUACGAUUUUGCCAGAAAAGCCUGACCUCUCAAGAUGGUCCUUGAAGUAUAAAGCAUUCGGUCGUGAUAUCGAGUACUCUUGGCUUGCCCGUAAUAUGCAGCCUAUUCCAAAUCAGAAAAUACACUGGCGAUCUCUGGAAGGUCUACCUAACAGAGGUGCUGUUCGAUUUUAUCCAAAAGGUCCGUCAUCAUGUGUAGUAGAACUGACAGUAUCAUAUGAAGUUCCUCAGCUCUUGGCUCCCGUGGCAUCGGUAUGUAGUCAGACACAAAAAGACAAUUCAUGUCAGGAUUGUCGAUUGGAAGACAGUAAGACAAAACUGAAAGACGUUGUUGUAGUCCAUACCAUUCCGUCGCCUUUUCCCCAUGUCAUGGGAGAAAAUCAGCAGAUUGACGUUUAAAUUGGGCUUUAAUCCACUCCGACUUUCUUUCAUCUAUAAUAUCUUUUGCAGGCACUGCAACCAUUUCUUGAAGGUUUACUGCAGCGUGGCUUGGAACGAUUUGCUAGUCUGGCCAGGAGAUACUAAAGCACCUGGCCUGGCGGGUUCCUUCUGACUAUGUAAAUAGCACCCACCCUAUUUUAUUUUGAUUGUCCUAACUCUUUUAACACCGGAAUAGAAAUCAAAAGUGCAUUUAAAAAAAAAAUCGCUGAUUUUGGGUACUGUUUUCUAUUUUGGAAAAAUUUUGUUAUAGUUAACAUGCCAGUUUUGGAUUUAGAUUGAUGGUUAUCCCAUUCUUGAAGUAAAAAGUUUCCUAUUAGUGUUGAUGGAAAUUCCGAUCUAAUUAUGGGAAUGAACAACUAAGGUUGAAAGCAUGAAGCCAUGUCUACCUCAAUUGCUAUCUUGAUAAGACUUCAACAAAGAUAUGCUCUUAACUUCGCUCUUGCUUAAUUAUGAGAUUAUGGGGAUGUGUUUAUUAUUUUGUUCAAGGUAUCAUGCUGAUGACAGCUAGAUUCUUCGUAUACAACACAAAAGGAUUGCUCUCAAGGCCUUGGAUUUUUUCUAUCGGUUUGUCAAUUGAAAGUCCCACCCAGGGAUUUCUAUUAUCUUUAUAUCAACAAUAGGCGACUCUAACAUGGGCAUGGGUCCAGUGACGAUGUAGUACGAGCUAGGGGAUGAUGAUGGUGAUGCCUAGAACAGGCGAAGCAUCGUUUGAAUGAUGCUAGCAUUUACUUGUUUGCCGUUCGGUGUCUGUCCUUGAUUUCUCGUACUAAUAAAUGUUUGAUUACUUUCA